CUGUUCACUCGCCUACCUCACAAAAAUCACACCCUAAAUCACCCAAAUCCAUGGCGAGUGAACCCAAUCUCCAACCACGCGUUCCCUCCCUCUCUCCUCUUGCCAUUUCUAACGGUUUCUGACAGAUUCCCUCUCCCUCACAUGCCCUCUCUUUGUUUUCUCGGAUUUUUACUCUUUUAGAUGGAAAUUAGGAAAAAUGGGAGGCGUAGGAUUGAGUGAAAUUGGAUCUACUCCCUCCAUUUGUCCGUUUUAUCCAUCAAAAAGGGGUAAAAAUCAGAUUCGGAUUUGGAGGAUUUUUGGGAGAUUUCUUGGGAAGGAAGCAUAGAAGCUUCGAGAUCUUUUGAGGUAUAUAUAUAAGGUGAGGUCAUUUCUUGUGAGGGGGGAGGGGAAGAAGAUUUUCAGAGGGAUUUUCGGUUUUGGAGAGAUUUCUAUUAAAGAAAAUUUAAAGGAGGAAAAUCAGGGUUCAAGUUUUUCUUCUUCUUUUCCUUUCGUUCUUUUCCUUUUUCAGAUAUUAGAACAGAAAAAACAUAUGAUGGAAGUUUCAUGAUUUCACUGGAUAUCAGCUUUAAUUAGCAUUUCGAAAUAAUAGAGUUUUUCUACUUCAAUUCUGGUUUUUGGAUGAACAAUGGAAUUCGUCGAGAAGUGUGAAUCUGUUGCUGUUUACUGAGCUAUAGCUGUUCUCUCUUGGUUCUGUGGUGGUUUCAUUCCUCAGAAAUCAGAGAUUUAUUUUCUUUUUCCCUUUGCUUUGUUGCUCUCAAGGAAAUCAAGUUCAAGAAGUAAAGAAGACUGCUCGAAUGGUUCAUGAUGUAUAAGGGAAGAAAUCAAUCAGCAUGUGAUCAGCAAAUCUGGAUUGGUCUCGUAAAUCUGGGCGCAAUCUAAUCAACGAAUCAAUCAGCAAUAACAAUAAUUAGCUGAGCUGGAAAAAAAUCAAAUAAGCCUUGGACAAAGGCACGAAUCAUGGGCAGAAUCACGGAAGACUAAAGGAUACGAGGAGAUCUGGGAAGCGACCACAUUUGGAAGAUCCAACAAUCAAGGAGAAAUCAAGUGAAGCAAUCCUCUGCUAAAGGAAAGCAAUCAAGAGAAGCAACGGCUCAUUCCUUAUUCUUGGAAAGAAUCAAUUCUUUCCAAGGAUCAAAUCUCUUGGGUUGUCAAGCCUCUACCAUCCAUCAAAGUAUUUAUACACCCUUGUAAACCCUAGCUAAGACAUACUUUGAUCAAACCAAAUCACUCUCUUUAUUCUACUGCAAACAAGCAUUGUAGUUCACUAAGAUCUGUUGUGUAACAAGUCAGGGAUAGAAAGAGAGCACACAACUGGUGAGGCAUUGUAUCAAAAAUGAGUGCUGGAGAAACUGAGCGAUAUACACCACAUUUGUACUCGGAAGAAACUCAUUUACUGAAGAGAACUCCCUUGCAACCCAAGGGGACUGGAUUAGGAUUCACAUUGAAUUCGAACCAUUAUAAAAA
Long non-coding RNA from Nicotiana attenuata, 1464 nucleotides. RefSeq lists it as uncharacterized. Lineage: Eukaryota; Viridiplantae; Streptophyta; Magnoliopsida; Solanales; Solanaceae. The record is from RefSeq and is a predicted model, not a curated record. The transcript is spliced from 2 exons.